Molecule: ribosomal RNA, 2989 nt
Filed under: Nanoarchaeota archaeon SCGC AAA011-D5
Lineage: Archaea; Nanobdellati; Nanobdellota
Description: bacterial LSU rRNA
Rfam family: Archaeal large subunit ribosomal RNA
Source: RNAcentral
AAAUAAAACCAAAGUCCGAUAGCGCACUAGUACCGCGAGGGAAUGCUGAAAAGAACCCGUAACAGGGAGUGAAAAGAUCUGAAAUCUAACAGUUACAGUUUGUUACUGCCCUUUCCUCUUCGGAGGAUUGGGGUUGUAACGUACGUUUCGAAGAACGAGCCAGGGAGUUUAUUUGUGUGGCGAGGCUAAUCAUCUAUAAUGAGUAACCGAAGCGAAAGCAAGUUGGAAACAGCGAGAGUCACACGAAUCAGACCUGAAGCCAGGUGAUCUAAUCAUGGGCAAGGUGAAGUCUUCCGAAAGGAGGAUGGAGGCCUGAACCAGUGUUGUGUACAUGCACUUGGAUGAUCUGUGAUUAGGGGUGAAAAGCCUAUCUAACCUGGUGAUGGCUGGUUCCUGCUGAAAUAUGCCUCCGUAUAGUCUUGUCUAGCUUGUCGACGGUGUAAAGUACGGAUAAAAUUUGCAGAGGCUAAUGCCUACGGAAUUUUUUCCAACUCAGAAUCUGUCGACUGCAUAGGACAAGAAACAGGGUGUGUAUGUAAGAUACACCUCCGAGACCCAAAAAAGGGAGACCAGAGUUAAGGUCCCUAAAUUCAUGCUAAGUGCGACAAAAGGUGUCCUGGACCUGAGACACUAGGGAUGUAAGCUUAGAAGCAGCUAUCAUUUAAAGAAAGCGUAACAGCUCACCUAUCGAGGCCCAAGGCCCUGAAAAUGGACGGGGCUAAGCAUGGUACCGAUACUCUGGAGGCACUCGGUUUAAAAUAGUAUAACAAAAAUCAAAGAUUUUUGUGCGUCUGCCAAGAUGGUAGGCGCGGGAAGAAUUUUUUAUAUGAAAUAGGAAAAGAAAAGGUUUUUAAACUUUAAAGUAACAACAAAAUUAUGAAUUUGAAGACGCUCCUUACAACAAAAAAAGAUGAAAGAAUAAUGAUGGAUUUUGCUAGAGGAAAGAUUAAUUAUUUAGAGGAUGGUUUUCUUCAAAAAAAUUUCCCAGACUUGUUUAGAAAUCUUAAAAGUUAUCGCGGUAGAUGGGAUGAGUUUGGAGAAGAACUUGAAAGAAGGUGUAUAGAAAGAACAAGAGAUAUUUCACAAAGAAAGGUAGAUUAUGGUGCAAUACUUCAUAAUGUUGGAGUUGCUAUUCCAUUUUAUUUUUUUACUGCACUCGUUAAUAUUGUUGGUGGUCUUGGUGGGGGGAUUCAUAAAACCCAAGAGAUGCUUGAUGAGGAUUUAAGACCAUAUAUGAAACCAACUUAUAAAUUGGCAAAUUCUAAUUAAAAUAUAAUUCACAAAUCAUAUUCAACGAAAGUUGAUUUCAUAAUUAAUUCUUCCUGUACUAUACAGAGUGUUCUGGUAAGCAGGCGUCUUUUCUGCGUCGAAGCUUCUUCGAGAGAAGGGGUGGAGCGGAAAGGAAUGAGAAUCCUGGUGGUAGUAGGAUGUGAUUUCUCUGAGAAAGAGAAACGUCGAAAGGGUAAGGUUUCCUUGGCAAUAUAUUUUAGCCAAGGGUUAGUCAGCGCCUAAGUUGUGCCCUAACAGAGUACGACGAUGGACAACAGGUUAAUAUUCCUGUACUGAUCAAAUUUUACAUUUUAGGAAAGCUUUCGGAUAAGCAAGCACCCGGAAGGGUGUUCUGGGAAAGAGACGGGGGGAGCGUAAUGCAAAGAUCUCUGUGAAUUUUUCAGACAAAAUUUCUGACUCCGAGAGCCAGUGAAAAGUUCUAGAGUUAAACGAGUUUGGUUAGCUGUACCCACAACCGACACUGGUGCCCUAGCUGAGAAGGCUAAGACGUGAAAGGAAAAACCAACUAAGGGAAUUCGGCAUAUUGGUCCUGUAGCUUCGGCUGAAGGGAUGUCUAUCUUUGUGCUUCGGUUCGCAAGAAUUUUAGGUGCAUCGGUAGAUUACAAUAACAAAGAUGGCCCGACUGUUUACCAAAAACGUAGCCAAGUGCUAAUCUGUAAAGACUUGUAUACUUGGUGAGCCCUGCCCAGUGGCGGUGUCUGAAACCCCUUUUCAAGGGGGCUAAUGCCCGUUAAACGGCGGGAGUAACUAUGACUCUCUUAAGGUAGCGUAAUGCCUUGUCGUCUGAAUGGCGACGUGCAUGAAUGGGUUAACGUGGUUGUCACUGUCCCUAGUUGGGACCUUCUGAACACACUUCGUGGUGAAAAGGCCACGGACGCCUAGUGGGAAGCGGAGACCUUGUGGAACUUUACUGCAACUUGUUGUUGUAAUUUUAAGUGGAAUGCAUAGAAUAGGUAGGAGCGUCGAGUCCCUCUUUUCGGAGGGGGAGGAGCGAAAGUGUAAUACUACCCAUUUUUAUUAGAAUUGCUUACCGUUUACGGAACAGCAGCAGGCGGGCAGUUUGGCUGGGGCGGCGCCCUGUCGAAAAGAUAUCGAUAGGACCCAAAGUCAAGCUCAUCCGGCUUGGAAACCCGGAGUUGAGUGCGAGGGCAAAAGCUUGACUGACUGUAUUCUGAAAAGCAAGGAAUGCAGGGACGAAAGUCUGGCCUAGUGAACCCACGUGCUUUUUUAAUAGAAGCCGUGUCUGAUAGAAAAGUUACCCCAAGGAUAACAGGCUUGUCGCACCCGAUAGUCCAUAUUGACGGUGCGGUUUGGUACAUCGCUGUCGGCUCUACCUAUCCUGCGCGUGCAGAAGCGUGCAAGGGUGUCGGAGUUCACGCAUUAAAAGGUAUCGUUAGCUGGGUUAAGAACGUCAAAAAUAGACCCAAUUAACAGAUAAGUACUGAACAAAGAACUUGACAAGCAAAAAAUAAAUAAUUAACGCGGCGUUGCGCACGAGUAAUUGUGCGAAAAAUAAAAUCAGCUCAUAUCGGUGGAGGCUUGAUGUUUAAAUUGAUUAAACUGUCAGCAUCAUGUUAAUACCGAGGGAAGUCGUAAUUGACCCCGUAGAGACUUAGAGUUUAAAACUCUGGAGUUCUGCUGUUAAAAGCAGAGCUAAGACGCUGAUCUCCGUUGUGCAAACAACGGAUGAAGGUAUAGU